This 195-nucleotide ribosomal RNA is filed under the name uncultured low G+C Gram-positive bacterium. RNAcentral describes it as "partial 16S ribosomal RNA". It matches the Rfam family "Bacterial small subunit ribosomal RNA", at positions 338 to 524 of the family's 1533-position model. Lineage: Bacteria; Bacillati; Bacillota. The record is from RNAcentral.
CCUACGGGAGGCAGCAGUAGGGAAUCUUCGGCAAUGGGGGCAACCCUGACCGAGCAACGCCGCGUGAGUGAAGAAGGUUUUCGGAUCGUAAAGCUCUGUUGUAAGUCAAGAACGAGUGUGAGAGUGGAAAAUUCACACUGUGACGGUAGCUUACCAGAAAGGGACGGCUAACUACGUGCCAGCAGCCGCGGUAAU